Molecule: ribosomal RNA, 253 nt
Filed under: uncultured bacterium
Lineage: Bacteria
Description: partial 16S ribosomal RNA
Rfam family: Bacterial small subunit ribosomal RNA
Source: RNAcentral
UACAGAGGGUGCGAGCGUUGUCCGGAAUCACUGGGCGUAAAGGGCGCGUAGGCGGCUUGAUAAGCGUGCGGUGAAAGCCCGGGGCUCAACCCCGGGUCGGCCGUGCGAACUGUCGAGCUGGAGCACUGUAGAGGCAGGUGGAAUUCCGGGUGUAGCGGUGGAAUGCGUAGAGAUCCGGAAGAACACCAGUGGCGAAGGCGGCUCACUGGACGACUGUUGACGCUGAGGUACGAAAGCGUGGGGAGCAAACAGG